This 468-nucleotide ribosomal RNA is filed under the name uncultured bacterium. Its description in RNAcentral is "partial 16S ribosomal RNA". It matches the Rfam family "Bacterial small subunit ribosomal RNA", at positions 28 to 507 of the family's 1533-position model. The record is from RNAcentral.
GACGAACGCUGGCGGCGUGCUUAACACAUGCAAGUCGAACGGAAAGGCCCUGCUUUUUUGGGGUGCUCGAGUGGCGAACGGGUGCGUAACACGUGAGUAUCCUGCCCUUGUCUUUGGUAUAACUUCAGGUAACUGGGGCUAAUACCGUAUAGGAGCUCCUGCUGCAUGGUGGGGGUUGGAUAUUUUCGGCGGUUGGGGAUGGACUCGCGGCUUAUCAGCUUGUUGGUGGGGUAGUGGCUUACCAAGGCUUUGACGGGUCGCCGGCCUGAGAGGGUGACCGGCCACAUUGGGACUGAGAUACGGCCCAGACUCCUACGGGAGGCAGCAGUGGGGAAUAUUGCACAAUGGGCGGAAGCCUGAUGCAGCAACGCCGCGUGCGGGAUGACGGCCUUCGGGUUGUAAACCGCUUUCGCCUGUGACGAAGCGGGAGUGACGGUAAUGGGUAAAGAAGCACCGGCUAACUACGUG